RNAcentral lists this transfer RNA (73 nucleotides) under Felis catus (domestic cat). It matches the Rfam family "tRNA". Rfam says of the family: Transfer RNA (tRNA) molecules are approximately 80 nucleotides in length. Their secondary structure includes four short double-helical elements and three loops (D, anti-codon, and T loops). The record is from Rfam by way of RNAcentral. Lineage: Eukaryota; Metazoa; Chordata; Mammalia; Carnivora; Felidae.
GCCUGGCUGGCUCAGUCAGAAGAGCAUGUGACUCUUGACCUUGGGGUUGUGAGUUCAAGCCCCACGUUGGGUG